Molecule: ribosomal RNA, 436 nt
Filed under: uncultured bacterium
Lineage: Bacteria
Description: bacterial SSU rRNA
Rfam family: Bacterial small subunit ribosomal RNA
Source: RNAcentral
AGCGAACGCUGGCGGCAGGCUUAACACAUGCAAGUCGAGCGGGCGUAGCAAUACGUCAGCGGCAGACGGGUGAGUAACGCGUGGGAACAUACCUUUUGGUUCGGAACAACACAGGGAAACUUGUGCUAAUACCGGAUAAGCCCUUACGGGGAAAGAUUUAUCGCCGAAAGAUUGGCCCGCGUCUGAUUAGCUAGUUGGUGAGGUAACGGCUCACCAAGGCGACGAUCAGUAGCUGGUCUGAGAGGAUGAUCAGCCACAUUGGGACUGAGACACGGCCCAAACUCCUACGGGAGGCAGCAGUGGGGAAUAUUGGACAAUGGGCGAAAGCCUGAUCCAGCCAUGCCGCGUGAGUGAUGAAGGCCCUAGGGUUGUAAAGCUCUUUUGUGCGGGAAGAUAAUGACGGUACCGCAAGAAUAAGCCCCGGCUAACUUCGUGC